RNAcentral lists this ribosomal RNA (254 nucleotides) under uncultured bacterium. RNAcentral's name for it is "partial 16S ribosomal RNA". It matches the Rfam family "Bacterial small subunit ribosomal RNA", at positions 524 to 776 of the family's 1533-position model. The record is from RNAcentral.
UACGGGGGGAGCAAGCGUUGUUCGGAUUUACUGGGCGUAAAGGGCGCGUAGGCGGCCAGCACAAGUCAGUUGUGAAAUCUCCGGGCUUAACUCGGAAAGGUCAACUGAUACUGUGCGGCUAGAGUGCAGAAGGGGCAACUGGAAUUCUCGGUGUAGCGGUGAAAUGCGUAGGUAUCGAGAGGAACACCUGCGGCGAAGGCGGGUUGCUGGGCUGACACUGACGCUGAUGCGCGAAAGCCAGGGGAGCGAACGGG